AUACGUAGGGUGCGAGCGUUGUCCGGAAUUACUGGGCGUAAAGAGCUCGUAGGUGGUUUGUCGCGUCGUCUGUGAAAUUCCGGGGCUUAACUCCGGGCGUGUAGGCGAUACGGGCAUAACUUGAGUACUGUAGGGGAGCCUGGAAUUCCUGGUGUAGCGGUGAAAUGCGCAGAUAUCAGGAGGAACACCGGUGGCGAAGGCGGGUCUCUGGGCAGUAACUGACGCUGAGGAGCGAAAGCAUGGGUAGCGAACAGGAUUAGAUACCCUGGUAGUCCAUGCCGUAAACGGUGGGCGCUAGGUGUAGGGGUCUUCCACGACUUCUGUGCCGUAGCUAACGCAUUAAGCGCCCCGCCUGGGGAGUACGGCCGCAAGGCUAAAACUCAAAUGAAUUGACGGGG
Molecule: ribosomal RNA, 398 nt
Filed under: uncultured bacterium
Lineage: Bacteria
Description: partial 16S ribosomal RNA
Rfam family: Bacterial small subunit ribosomal RNA
Source: RNAcentral